CAGUCGCCGCGGUAAUACGGAGGGUGCAAGCGUUAAUCGGAAUUACUGGGCGUAAAGCGUGCGUAGGCGGUUCGUUAAGUCUGUUGUGAAAGCCCCGGGCUCAACCUGGGAAUGGCAAUGGAUACCGGCGAGCUAGAGUGUGUCAGAGGAUGGUGGAAUUCCCGGUGUAGCGGUGAAAUGCGUAGAGAUCGGGAGGAACAUCAGUGGCGAAGGCGGCCAUCUGGGACAACACUGACGCUGAGGCACGAAAGCGCGGGGAGCAAACAGGAUUAGAGACCCGCGUAGUCCCUGUCUCUUAUAA
RNAcentral lists this ribosomal RNA (301 nucleotides) under uncultured bacterium. RNAcentral's name for it is "partial 16S ribosomal RNA". It matches the Rfam family "Bacterial small subunit ribosomal RNA", at positions 509 to 809 of the family's 1533-position model. The record is from RNAcentral.